Molecule: ribosomal RNA, 1755 nt
Filed under: Triticum aestivum (bread wheat)
Lineage: Eukaryota; Viridiplantae; Streptophyta; Magnoliopsida; Poales; Poaceae
Description: partial small subunit ribosomal RNA
Source: RNAcentral
AUGGCCGCCAACCAAACACCCAGAGCUCCCACCGACGCUGAUCCUGCCAUUCCCACAACGGAGGCACCAUCCAAAAUCCCGAAAUCGAUCCACCUCGAGGGCAGGGAGGCGCGCCUCCGCCGGGUCCGCGAGAACCUCCGCCUCAAUGACCCGCCGCCGGCCCCGUCCGCCGCCCACGACGAAGGCCUCCGCGCCCUCGGCCUCCUCGACUUCGUCCGCCUCGACCUCCCCUCCUCCGGCGCCCCGCGCCUGGACCUCGUCGCGGAGCUCAUUGCCAACUACAAACCGUACCCGUAUCCCGGAUGGAGCUCCUCCGUCCGUGGCAAAGAAAUCGUGGUCUUCCUCCAUUCCUUCGCCGAGGCGCUCUGCCUUCCUGCAGGGAGACCUACCAUGUCUUUUCCUGCCAGUGCCGUCGUGACCUCCGCCGCCAGAGAGUUCAUGAAGGUUUACGUCUUGGCGCCAUUGCAGGCUUCCACCGACAGGAAGCGCAGGCUGCCUACCGAGGUGGAUGAUGCAUUGAGGUCUUUGCAGGAUCUUCGGGCGCAUUAUGUUGACUGGACGGAGCUCCUCUGGUACCAAGUGGAGGAGGAGAUUCAACAACUGAUUUGGAAGAAUAGGACCAGCAGGGCAUGCUACUACGGUGCGUACCUGCAGAGGCUCAUCUGGGUGGUGAGGCCAGAUCUCUUCCAGCUGCCACCGGCGCCGUCGGUGAUAGAAGCGCCACCUCCGCCAGCGGCAUUGCGCCCCCACAAGGAACGACAAAGCAUUCGAUCAGCAGUCAAUAAGAGUCAAAAGCCUUGCUCCUCUGAAGCGAGGUCUGAGAAGAUUGAAGCAAGGUCCGAGAAGAUUGAUGGAACAUCCAAGGCUGUGGUAGAUGCGGCGUUGGACAAGAUCGAUGCAGCAUCCAAGGUGGUGAUAGACGCGGCGUUGGAGAAGAUCGAUGCAGCAUCCAAGGUGAUGAUAGAUGCGGCGUUAGAGAAGAUCGAUGCAGCAUCCAAGGUGGUGAUAGGUGCGGCAUCCAAGAUGUUGAUAGAUUCGGCGUUGGAGAAGAUCAAUGCAUCAUCCAAGGUGAUGAUAGAUUCGGCGUUGGAGAAGAUCAAUGCAUCAUCCAAGGUGAUGAUAGAUUCAGCAUUGGAGAAGAUCAAUGCAUCAUCCAAGGUGAUUGAAGCCACAUCCAAGCAACUUGAUGACGCUAGAGCACGCGAGCAAGAUGGUGACAUACAGGAAAUGCAGUCACUCGUCCAGACGUUGGUUACCAAGGAACGGCAAAGCAAUGGAGAGCUGCAACGUGCUCGGAAAAUGCUGAUAGAUGAACUGCCGAGGUUCACAAAUGUGGAGGCACAUAUAGGCGUCAAAAGGAUGGGUGAGCUGGAUCUGAAAGCAUUUGCCAAUGCUUGCAGCAAAAAUGUAGCACAAGAGGAUGCACAAGUUAACUCUGCUAUUCUUUGUUCAAGAUGGCAAGCUGAAAUCGCAAACCCAGGCUGGCAUCCUUUUAGGAUAGUUACGGUUGAUGGUAAAGAGAUGGAAAUUCUCUCAGAGGACGAUGACAAGCUUCGCAGCUUAAAAGAGGAGCAUGGAGACGAAAUCUACAGCUUGGUGACAAAGGCGCUGCUUGAGAUGAACGAGUACAACCCCAGCGGCCGCUACCCUGCACCAGAGCUGUGGAACGGCAAGGAUGAUCGGAAAGCGACACUGGAGGAAGCCAUCCAGUUCCUCCUCAAACAGCUGCAGUCACACAAGAGGAAGCGCCGCUGA